GGAGCAAGAGGUUAGAAAAAGCCUCUCAUGAGAAAGAAGUGACAGGUUUGAAGACAUAAGUGUGUGGCAGAAAGUGAGAAAGAAUUGCAAUUUCUCAGCUCUUUGGCAGUUACCUGCAAGGUGCAGACAAGACAUGUGAGAGCCACUUUAUCCUACGUGGAACAUAUAUUAAAACCUGGAAAGCUCUUCGACUGACCGGGGACACCACAGGAACUCCUUUUGCUUUGAACAGAUGCGGCGCCCUUCCUCCUCCUCACUGCUGUUUCCCACUGAGCGUCUGCUGGGAUGAGCUGGUUGGUGGCCAUGGGUAAGUCUGUUGGCCAUUUUGUGAAAACCUGCUCAUGAAGAAGUGUUUACUAGAUUAAAUGC
This 369-nucleotide long non-coding RNA is filed under the name Phasianus colchicus (ring-necked pheasant). RNAcentral's name for it is "lncRNA (ENSPCLG00000000648.1)". The record is from RNAcentral. Lineage: Eukaryota; Metazoa; Chordata; Aves; Galliformes; Phasianidae.